Molecule: ribosomal RNA, 371 nt
Filed under: uncultured bacterium
Lineage: Bacteria
Description: bacterial SSU rRNA
Rfam family: Bacterial small subunit ribosomal RNA
Source: RNAcentral
ACGUAGGGUGCAAGCGUUAAUCGGAAUUACUGGGCGUAAAGCGUGCGCAGGCGGUUCGGAAAGAAAGGUGUGAAAUCCCAGGGCUUAACCUUGGAACUGCACUUUUAACUACCGAGCUAGAGUAUGUCAGAGGGGGGUGGAAUUCCGCGUGUAGCAGUGAAAUGCGUAGAUAUGCGGAGGAACACCGAUGGCGAAGGCAAUCCCCUGGACCUGUACUGACGCUCAUGCACGAAAGCGUGGGGAGCAAACAGGAUUAGAUACCCUGGUAGUCCACGCCCUAAACGAUGUCAACUGGUUGUUGGGUCUUCACUGACUCAGUAACGAAGCUAACGCGUGAAGUUGACCGCCUGGGGAGUACGGCCGCAAGGUUG